This 253-nucleotide ribosomal RNA is filed under the name uncultured bacterium. RNAcentral describes it as "partial 16S ribosomal RNA". It matches the Rfam family "Bacterial small subunit ribosomal RNA", at positions 524 to 776 of the family's 1533-position model. The record is from RNAcentral.
UACGUAGGGUGCGGGCGUUAAUCGGAAUUACUGGGCGUAAAGCGUGCGCAGGCGGUUUGCUAAGACCGAUGUGAAAUCCCCGGGCUUAACCUGGGAACUGCAUUGGUGACUGGCAGGCUAGAGUAUGGCAGAGGGGGGUAGAAUUCCACGUGUAGCAGUGAAAUGCGUAGAGAUGUGGAGGAAUACCGAUGGCGAAGGCAGCCCCCUGGGCCAAUACUGACGCUCAUGCACGAAAGCGUGGGGAGCAAACAGG